UACAGAGGGUGCGAGCGUUGUCCGGAAUCACUGGGCUUAAAGGGCGCGUAGGCGGGCUGCCGCGUCCGGGGUGAAAUCCCACGGCUCAACCGUGGAACGGCCCCGGGUACGGGCGGCCUCGAGGAAGGUAGGGGCGUGCGGAACUGUGGGUGGAGCGGUGAAAUGCGUUGAUAUCCACAGGAACUCCGGUGGCGAAGGCGGCACGCUGGACCUUUUCUGACGCUGAGGCGCGAAAGCCAGGGGAGCGAACGGG
RNAcentral lists this ribosomal RNA (253 nucleotides) under uncultured bacterium. RNAcentral describes it as "partial 16S ribosomal RNA". It matches the Rfam family "Bacterial small subunit ribosomal RNA", at positions 524 to 776 of the family's 1533-position model. The record is from RNAcentral.